UACGUAGGGACCAAGCGUUGUUCGGAUUUACUGGGCGUAAAGGGCGCGUAGGCGGCAAUUCAAGUCAGCUGUGAAAUCUCCGGGCUUAACUCGGAACGGUCAGCUGAUACUGCUUUGCUAGAGUGCAGAAGGGGCAAUCGGAAUUCUUGGUGUAGCGGUGAAAUGCGUAGAUAUCAAGAGGAACACCUGAGGUGAAGACGGGUUGCUGGGCUGACACUGACGCUGAGGCGCGAAAGCCAGGGGAGCAAACGGG
RNAcentral lists this ribosomal RNA (253 nucleotides) under uncultured bacterium. Its description in RNAcentral is "partial 16S ribosomal RNA". It matches the Rfam family "Bacterial small subunit ribosomal RNA", at positions 524 to 776 of the family's 1533-position model. The record is from RNAcentral.